Molecule: ribosomal RNA, 410 nt
Filed under: uncultured bacterium
Lineage: Bacteria
Description: bacterial SSU rRNA
Rfam family: Bacterial small subunit ribosomal RNA
Source: RNAcentral
GACGAACGCUGGCGGCGUGCUUAACACAUGCAAGUCGAACGGAAAGGCCCAGCUUGCUGGGUACUCGAGUGGCGAACGGGUGAGUAACACGUGGGUGAUCUGCCCCCAAACUUCGGGAUAAGCCUGGGAAACUGGGUCUAAUACCGGAUAUGACCUGCUCCUGCAUGGGGGUUGGUGGAAAGCUUUUGCGGUUUGGGAUGGGCCCGCGGCCUAUCAGCUUGUUGGUGGGGUAAUGGCCUACCAAGGCGACGACGGGUAGCCGACCUGAGAGGGUGAUCGGCCACACUGGGACUGAGACACGGCCCAGACUCCUACGGGAGGCAGCAGUGGGGAAUAUUGCACAAUGGGCGCAAGCCUGAUGCAGCGACGCCGCGUGAGGGAUGACGGCCUUCGGGUUGGUUAAACCGUAC